Molecule: transfer RNA, 70 nt
Filed under: Bos taurus (domestic cattle)
Lineage: Eukaryota; Metazoa; Chordata; Mammalia; Artiodactyla; Bovidae
Also listed under: 4 other names
Rfam family: tRNA
About the family: Transfer RNA (tRNA) molecules are approximately 80 nucleotides in length. Their secondary structure includes four short double-helical elements and three loops (D, anti-codon, and T loops).
Source: Rfam by way of RNAcentral
GCUUUCCUGGCUCAGUGGUAAAGAAUCUGCCUGCAAUGCAGGAGACCCGGGUUCGAUCCCUGAGAAAGGA